This 460-nucleotide ribosomal RNA is filed under the name uncultured bacterium. RNAcentral describes it as "partial 16S ribosomal RNA". It matches the Rfam family "Bacterial small subunit ribosomal RNA", at positions 338 to 795 of the family's 1533-position model. The record is from RNAcentral.
CCUACGGGGUGCAGCAGUGAGGAAUAUUGGUCAAUGGACGAGAGUCUGAACCAGCCAAGUAGCGUGAAGGAUGACUGCCCUAUGGGUUGUAAACUUCUUUUAUAUGGGAAUAAAAUGUUCCACGUGUGGGAUUUUGUAUGUACCAUAUGAAUAAGGAUCGGCUAACUCCGUGCCAGCAGCCGCGGUAAUACGGAGGAUCCGAGCGUUAUCCGGAUUUAUUGGGUUUAAAGGGAGCGUAGGUGGAUUGUUAAGUCAGUUGUGAAAGUUUGCGGCUCAACCGUAAAAUUGCAGUUGAGACUGGCAGUCUUGAGUACAGUAGAGGUGGGCGGAAUUCGUGGUGUAGCGGUGAAAUGCUUAGAUAUCACGAAGAACUCCGAUUGCGAAGGCAGUUCACUGGACUGCAACUGACACUGAGGCUCGAAAGUGUGGGUAUCAAACAGGAUUAGAUACCCGGGUAGUC